RNAcentral lists this unclassified non-coding RNA (253 nucleotides) under uncultured Bartonella sp. Its description in RNAcentral is "partial 16S-23S ribosomal RNA intergenic spacer". Lineage: Bacteria; Pseudomonadati; Pseudomonadota; Alphaproteobacteria; Hyphomicrobiales; Bartonellaceae. The record is from RNAcentral.
CGUUCUGUUCAUUAAAUUCUAAAAGCAUUUAAAAAAAUGCUUUAAAGAAAAUGCUCUAAAGUAUUAAACAGCUCUAAAGCGUUUAAGAAACAAAUAAAGAAGGUGUAAAAAAACAGGUAAAGAAGGCGUUUAAAAAACAUAUCUGUUUCUUAAACAUAUCUUUUGUUUUUUGUUUUCUUUUGUUUGUCCCGGGGAAGGUUUUUGCCAAUUCACUCCUGAGGGCUUGUAGCUCAGUUGGUUAGAGCGCGCGCUU